Homalodisca vitripennis (glassy-winged sharpshooter) is the source of this 972-nucleotide long non-coding RNA. RefSeq lists it as uncharacterized. The record is from RefSeq and is a predicted model, not a curated record. NCBI's taxonomy places the organism in Eukaryota, Metazoa, Arthropoda, Insecta, Hemiptera, Cicadellidae. The transcript is spliced from 2 exons.
CUACCAGAGAAGGAGCAGGAUGUAUAGAAUCCAAAAGGAAAUCCUGUUUUAUCUAAUCAGACCAGAUUGCACUAGUUCAAUCCCACAAGCACAUAGAAGUGGUAAUCUUAUCUUUGCACUGAUAAGUUCACUAGGCCAUUGAGUGAUCAUUCAGCCAACCAGUUAGUCUGUAACCAAAUAUGGAAACCAUCACACUUGAGGAGCAACAAGCAUUGCUUAGAGGGCUUCUAGAAGCAAUCAACUGUCCAGUGUGCUUCAACAUUCUACAGCCGUUGUGUGUCAUCCAGUGUAUCAAUGGUCAUUGGAUGUGUAAAGACUGUAGAGUUAAACUAAGCCUGUGCCCAACAUGCCGUGGUAGCUUCAGCCCCUACAAUAACAACUCAUCACUGAACCAAGUCUUAGAACUAUUCCCACACAUGUGCAAAUUUGAAGGCUGUGAAGAAAUUGUAAGACCUAAUGAUGAUCAUGAGACGUGGUGCGGUUUUCGUCCAACGAAAUGCAAAAUUUGCCAGUGGACUGGUUAUGGUAAAGAUAUUUUGGAUCAUGUCAAACUGAAACAUUCAGAGAAAAUCAUUCUUGAUGAAAAAAAUGAAUGUAGACGUUUCGAUCGUUGUAAUGAUAAAUUCCAAAAUUGUGAUACCUAUAUGCCAAUUUUUGCUCAUGGUCAGUUUUUUUGGAUGUAUUCAGAAAAUAGUACAGAAAAAAUGUCAUUUGCAAAAAUAUUUACUUUAGUCCCAAAUGGAAAAAUUGAUUGUAGUUAUGAAAUGAAGUUUGUCUUGAGAAAUUCUAACAACGUAUAUGCUGUUUCCACUUUUUUGAAUGAUGAUACAGUUUUAAAUUUUAAUGGAAAUGACAACAAAUUCACUCUUCAUUUCUCAAUAUUAAGACAUUUUAGUUAUGAAGGAAAGUUAACAUAUGAUUUCUAUGUGAAUAAAUUAAAUCAGAAAUAAAUGAAUGCAUUCUAAUAAUUAA